AACGAACGCUGGCGGCAUGCCUAAUACAUGCAAGUCGAACGAGAUCUUCGGAUCUAGUGGCGCACGGGUGCGUAACGCGUGGGAAUCUGCCCUUGGGUUCGGAAUAACUUCUGGAAACGGAAGCUAAUACCGGAUGAUGACGUAAGUCCAAAGAUUUAUCGCCCAAGGAUGAGCCCGCGUAGGAUUAGGUAGUUGGUGAGGUAAAGGCUCACCAAGCCGACGAUCCUUAGCUGGUCUGAGAGGAUGAUCAGCCACACUGGGACUGGGACACGGCCCAGACUCCUACGGGAGGCAGCAGUAGGGAAUAUUGGACAAUGGGCGAAAGCCUGAUCCAGCAAUGCCGCGUGAGUGAUGAAGGCCUUAGGGUUGUAAAGCUCUUUUACCCGGGAUGAUAAUGACAGUACCGGGAGAAUAAGCUCCGGCUAACUCCGUG
RNAcentral lists this ribosomal RNA (433 nucleotides) under uncultured bacterium. RNAcentral describes it as "partial 16S ribosomal RNA". It matches the Rfam family "Bacterial small subunit ribosomal RNA", at positions 29 to 507 of the family's 1533-position model. The record is from RNAcentral.